UGCGGCUGUGUCUACGCCGGUGAUUUCUUUACCGGAGUGGUCUGGGUUGGGUUCUGGGUCUACGCAUCCGGUGGUGACUGUAGCUGCAAAGCCGGUGUCUUCUCCGGUGAUCCCUACAUCACCUGAGAUUCUUCCUGUGUUGGCUCCGCCCAUAUGUAACUUAACCCUAAAUCCCUAAUAUCCUUCCUCAUUCCUCACAUUUUCUGAUUUUCAGCUUUUCUCUCCUUUCACACAAGCCGACGCCGUGCCCGUGCCUCUCCCCUCUCCAGACCAAGCGGCCAGCGCCUCUCACCCUCACUUGUCUCUCAGUCCACUCUCCAGACCAAGCGCCGCUCCUCUCUCACUCUCGCCGGCGGAGGAUCUCGGCGGAGAACCAUACCGCUCCUCUCUCUCUCUCUCUCUCUCACAGUCGUGCCGAUCUCAAGGCUAGAGUCCCUGGAGAAACCGGGCUGCAAGGUGUGAUUCAAAGUACUGGGAUAUUGUGUUUUUGUGGCAAAUGCAGAAGGAGGUGUUUUUAUGUUGGCUGUAGGUUGUUCUGUGUUGUUCGAGCUGCAUGUGGAAAGUGCAAGAACUAUUUACUAGCGUAUAUUUUCCUGGAGAAGGAGAACAUUCUUUGUACUGUCAUGAAUGCAUGUGUAAAUGCUUUGUUGGAUUGCUAGAAGAGUUUGUCUGAAAUUCUAUGGUUGUUCCUCUUCAAAGAAAUCUACCGCAUCAUUCUGAAUUGCAGAGGACAUCUACCUGAAACAUACAAUGGGAAUUUGAUGCAACUGUGAACUGAUAUGUUGGAUUUUCUUUUCUGAGUAGUAAUAUUAUGUUGUGGGCAAAAAUUGUUGGUCUCAUCUCUUGUGCUUACUGCAACUGCAAGGUAAAUUUUUUUCUGCUUGAGAUUGAUUUUAUUUACAUUUACUGAGCAUGUGAGCCACUCAGAGUCAGAAACUCAUGCUAAUUGGGUAUCAUAUAUAAGUGUUUCAAAUCAUUUGGGUGGUUGAGGUCCUACAAUUGAUGUCCAAAGUCAAUUGGCAAGACCUUUGUGGACCAGGUCCACCCAAAGUCUAGAAAGGAAUUUCGAAAUUUGACAAGAAACAGAUUGUCUUAGCUUUCCACUUUAGCUUCUUUCUUAAUGUAAUUGAAACUUAAGGGCCUUCCAGUGAUUACUCCUUGUUACAUGUUUUGUGAUUGACUAGUUUCCUGUGAUAAAACUGUGGGCCAUAUUUGCUCGCUACUAUGUAUCAAUAAUUUUAUUCUUUUUACU
RNA transcript from Corylus avellana, 1252 nucleotides. It is a transcript of the gene named putative disease resistance RPP13-like protein 1 pseudogene, with no coding region annotated. The record is from RefSeq and is a predicted model, not a curated record. NCBI's taxonomy places the organism in Eukaryota, Viridiplantae, Streptophyta, Magnoliopsida, Fagales, Betulaceae.